CCUACGGGCGGCAGCAGUGGGGAAUAUUGCACAAUGGGCGCAAGCCUGAUGCAGCCAUGCCGCGUGAAUGAAGAAGGCCUUCGGGUUGUAAAGUACUUUCAGUCGUGAGGAAGGUGUUAAGGUUAAUAACCUUAGCAAUUGACGUUAGCGAAAGAAGAAGCACCGGCUAACUCCGUGCCAGCAGCUGCGGUAACACGGAGGGUGCGAGCGUUAAUCGGAAUUACUGGGCGUAAAGGUCACGCAGGCGGUUAAUGAAGUUGGAUGUGAAAUCCCCGGGCUUAACCUGGGAAUGGCAUGCGAGACUGGUUAGCUAGAGUCUUGUAGAGGUGGGUAUAAGUCCAUGUGUAGCGGUGAAAUGCGUUGAGAUGUGGGGGAAUACCGGUGGCGAAGGCGACCCCCUGGACAAAGACUGGCGCUCAUGUGCGAAAGCGUGGGGAGCAAACAGAAUUAGAUACCCGAGUAGUC
This 465-nucleotide ribosomal RNA is filed under the name uncultured Arsenophonus sp. Its description in RNAcentral is "bacterial SSU rRNA". It matches the Rfam family "Bacterial small subunit ribosomal RNA", at positions 338 to 795 of the family's 1533-position model. Lineage: Bacteria; Pseudomonadati; Pseudomonadota; Gammaproteobacteria; Enterobacterales; Morganellaceae. The record is from RNAcentral.